AUGGAGAGACUUGUUAAUGUUCAUUACAUGGACAACGAGGCAUUCUUGAGUAACAAUGUCGACACUGGUGAGGAAUCAUUGGUUUUUGAUACAAGCCCUAGCUAUGAGCAUGUUGUUGCAAAAGUGAGACAAGUCUUAAAGUGGAUGGACACCAAUGUUGAUGUUAAGUUAAUAGGAAGGUAUGAUGUUGGAGUUGGAGCCAAAUCUCGGUUGAAAAGUAUGCCUAUCACCUCGGAUUUGCAUUGGGAUGUAUACAAGGAAAAGGUUUCCCAAUCGGAAGACAAGUCACUUGAAUUGUUUGCCACCAAGGUUGAAUCUCCUCGGUUUACACUUGAUUUGAACCGGCAUGUCUCUUCCCCAAUGGAUGACAUGAGCGAGAGGACAAUGGUGCCACUUGUUGAGCAUAGGGUUGUGGUUGAUGCCCCCAAUGCUUAUCGCCAACCAUGUCCCCGUCUACCAUCUAGUGAAGCAAAUGAGGUUGAGUUGUAUGCCCCCCAAUGCUUCUAG
This 507-nucleotide ribosomal RNA is filed under the name Triticum aestivum (bread wheat). RNAcentral's name for it is "partial small subunit ribosomal RNA". The record is from RNAcentral. Lineage: Eukaryota; Viridiplantae; Streptophyta; Magnoliopsida; Poales; Poaceae.